GACGAACGCUGGCGGCGUGCCUAAUACAUGCAAGUCGAACGCAGUGGGGACGGGUGAGUAACACGUGGGUAACCUCCCAUCAGAGGGGAUAACCCUUGGCAACAGGUGCUAAACCGAUACUGAUGGAUGGACCCGCGGUGGAUUAGCUCGUUGGAGAGGUAACGGCGCACCAAGGCCACGAUGCAUAGCCGAGCUGAGAGGGUGACCGGCCACACUGGAACUGAGACACGGCCCAGACUCCUACGGGAGGCAGCAGUAGGGAAUAUUGGGCAAUGGGCGAAAGUCUGACCGAGCAACGCCGCGUGAGUGAAGAAGGUUUUCGGAUCGUAAAGCUCUGUUGUUAGAGAAGCGGUAUCUAACCAGAAAGCCACGGCUAACUACGUGCCAGCAGCCGCGGUAAUAC
Molecule: ribosomal RNA, 403 nt
Filed under: uncultured bacterium
Lineage: Bacteria
Description: partial 16S ribosomal RNA
Rfam family: Bacterial small subunit ribosomal RNA
Source: RNAcentral